Molecule: long non-coding RNA, 1448 nt
Organism: Gallus gallus (chicken)
Lineage: Eukaryota; Metazoa; Chordata; Aves; Galliformes; Phasianidae
Source: Ensembl
GGAUUAAUUACAUUAUACCACGAUGGAGGCCGUUGCUAGGUUACAGCAACCGGUCCCUAAGCUCAGCCUACUGCGGGGUUUCCCCAGAACCGGGCAUCUUUGAGCUCGGGGCAGCGCAGAAGGUUGGGUGAGCAGCAGGGCUGGUGAGGCACAGUGCCCCACUGCAGGCAGCACCUGAGUUUCAGUAACCAUUUCAACGCUCACUGCUGGGGGGAAGGAAGCAAAUUCCCACCCCAGGCCUUGGCAAGCCAAAGGAAAAUGUUAUGACCUUACAGGAACAAGAGAAAUAGGGUGAAACGGAGUGCCCUGAAGUGCAGCAUCACCGCACUCCUCACAACUGGCCCUUUUCAUAACUCCUGGGGAAUGACAAAGAGCCACCUGCCAGCUGCGAGCCCACAGCCAGGUACAGCUGUGAACAAGGCGAGCACCAGCCCAGGAUGCUGCAGGAGAUGCACGACAUGGGAAGCAUGAAGUACGAGCCCUGGCACGACCUCAUCUGGUCUGGCACAGCCUCAGAAAGAUGAACUCAAAGCAGAAGCGGUGCCAAGGCCGGCUGCUAGCACAGCAAGGACAGCUCACAGAGCACUGCCACGCAGGGCUGGGGCAGCAGCACCCGAACAGCAGCGCUGGCAAAGGAAAAAAUAAGCAUAAACUGGCCAAGAAUAAAAGUGGACAGCAAUUAUCAGACAGCUCCUCAGUCCGGAGGCAGAAGUAGAGUUUCCUGCAAGGCUGGUGGUAGCAGAGCUGGUCUGCAGGCACGGGAACUGCCAGCACCAGUCCGUCUGUCCUUGUGCUAUUUUUCUACCUGGUAUUUUGGCAAGGAGAUGGAGCGAGGCACAGGUCAGGUACUGAGCCAGUCCUUCAGCUCAGCAGCAGCACCGAGCAGCUUGGUUCUCUUGCAGGGAUGAGUUGUGUGACAGCCACCAACAGAUUAACACCAGCGAGAGCUUUAGCAAGCAGGGCUGGCCACCUGUGCUAAGAGUCGGGCCAUCAGAAGGACAAUGCAGGCACGCUGCCUUUGCCCAGCACUCUGCAGGGUUCGGUGUACGCACAGGGAGCAGUCACACUCGAGGCCACGCGGCUGCAGAGUACGACUUCACUUUGGUCCCAUCACAACAGCUGCAUUAAAUCACGCACAGGGGCUGCCAAUAGCAACAGGAGCUGCUGACCGUCCCGCUGUGCCUUCCCACCCCAGGGAGGAGGGUGGCAACAAAUGCUCCCCACAGUAAAUGCAGGGCACGCAGCUCCCACCCACACCUCAGAUCAGCAGCUAUACCAGCUGCCCCCCAUGCUUGGGAAGCUGGCCCUGUGCAGCAGCAGGCCACAGAUACAGCGAUGGAUUUGCACUUCUCCCUCCUCUCAAUACCAACCGAGACACUGUAUGACAUGCAGCUCCAGCCAGCAUUAAACUGCAAGCGCAGCUCUUCAGCCUCAAGGUUUCUCUCUUU